Molecule: ribosomal RNA, 2429 nt
Filed under: Trichinella papuae
Lineage: Eukaryota; Metazoa; Nematoda; Enoplea; Trichinellida; Trichinellidae
Description: eukaryotic LSU rRNA
Rfam family: Eukaryotic large subunit ribosomal RNA
Source: RNAcentral
ACUAUCUUAAUAUUUUUGUUCUGUGUGCAGUUGUCGUAUGUUUUCGAAAGGGAAUCCGGUUGAUAUUCCGGAACCGAGUAACGGAGACAAAGAGUAGCGCUUUAAUCUCUUUCGGGUUGGCGUUCAACUCAAUCGCGCGGUAACGCAAGCGAACUCGGAAAAUGACCGUCGUGAGUUUCGAAAAGAGUUUUCUUUUCUUUUUAAGGGACGCAUUCCCUGGAACCGGGUUGUCCGGAGAUAGGGAUUCUGGUAUCCAUAAAACGCCGACUCUUUCACGGUGUUCGGAGCGCUCUCGUCGGUACGUGAAAAUCCGAGCGACGCCUGGUAAAUCUCGUACUUGGUCGUACUGAUAUCCGCAGCAGGUCUCCAAGGUGAAUAGCCUCUGGCCGAUAGAAUAAUGUAGGUAAGGGAAGUCGGCAAAACGGAUCCGUAACUUCGGAACAAGGAUUGGCUCUAAGGGCUGGGCCGAUCGGGCUGAGGUUUCAAGCGUGCAGUGUAUGCUUGGCUGAGUUGUGUUGAGGAUUGAUUCGCUUGGUGCCGUUUGUUGAACCAAUCGGCUUGCCAGGUGGUCAUGUCUGAAGCAAAGCUGGCCGACAGACCGGCACGUGCAGAACCUGAGCUGCGCGGCUGUCAGUUCAUUUGUACAGACCGUUUCGGUCGGCAUUCAACAGCCAACUUAGAACUGGCACGGACACAAGGAAUCUGACUGUAUAAUUAAAACAAAGCAUUGCGAUGGCCGAUGAUCGGUGUUGACGCAAUGUGAUUUCUGCCCAGUGCUCUGAAUGUCAGAAGACCCGCCCGCCCCCCGCACAGAAGAUGAUGACCCAGCGUUUGGAAGAAAGAAGACCAGCCCGGCCUCGGCCUAGAAGAAGAUGACCUAGCGCUUGGAAGACCGAAAUACAGAAAACAGAAGAAAGAAGCGCCCCCCCCGAAGACGCCCCUACUUGUUGUCCAGUCCCAUGGUCGUCGCCAGCCCCCCCUUUCGUAUUGUUACUUAUUUAUUGCUGUUGCUGUUGUUAUUGCUAUUACUGUCAUGUAAUGCCCUCGCUGAGCCCGCCCCCACUCUCCCCCUCCGGUACCCGCGACUAGCCAUGCUCUGACUCUUGGCGGGACGCUAGGUAGCGAUGGGAUGCAGGGGAAUCUCAAGUGAAGCUCAUACUUGAAUUAGAUUGACGCAGUAAGCGUUCUUCUUCGGGAGAGCCUUACAAACAGUCCAAAUAGCCAAAUGCCUCGUCAUCUAAUUAGUGACGCGUAUGAAUGGAUCAACAAGAUUCCUUCUGUCCCUAUCUACUAUCUAGCGAAACCACAGCCAAGGGAACGGGCUUGGCAAAAUCAGCGGGGAAAGAAGACCCUGUUGAGCUUGACUCUAGUCUGACUCUGUGAAGAGACAUGAAAGGUGUAGCAUAGGUGGGAGGCUGCAGUAGGGCGCUGUUCGGUGUCUCUGUGGUCGCCAAUGAAAUACCACUACUUUGAUCGUUUCUUUACUUAUUCGGUAAAGCGAAAAAAUUGUGGCCAAUUUGGCGGUCUGUCCGCUGUUGGUCAUUGUUUUAAUGUUGGAUUGAAGCUUUGUUUAUAGCCGUCGCUUUGUGUCGCCGUUUGACGCAUUGGCUGGGUGCGUAUUUGUGCGCGCGCGGUAAUGUUGUCAGCGGAUGAUCGGCGAUUGGUUUGAAGUGAUUCGCUCCGGAAACAGUGUCAGACGGGGAGUUUGACUGGGGCGGUACAUCUGUUAAACGAUAACGCAGGUGUCCUAAGGUAAGCUCAGCGAGGACAGAAACCUCGCCUAGAGUAAACGGGCACAAGCUUACUUGAUUUUGAUUUCCAGUACGAAUAAAAACCGCGAAAGCGUGGCCUAUCGAUCCUUUUGAUUGUGUAGAUUUCACGCAAGAGGUGUCAGAAAAGUUACCACAGGGAUAACUGGCUUGUGGCAGCCAAGCGUCCAUAGCGACGUUGCUUUUUGAUCCUUCGAUGUCGGCUCUUCCUAUCAUUGCGAAGCAGAAUUCGCCAAGCGUUGGAUUGUUCACCCACCAAUAGGGAACGUGAGCUGGGUUUAGACCGUCGUGAGACAGGUUAGUUUUACCCUACUGAUGACAAGUCGUUGCGAUAGUAAUCCUGCUCAGUACGAGAGGAACCGCGGGAUCAGACAUUUGGUUCAUGCGCUCGGCUGAAAGGCCGGUGGCGCGAAGCUAGCAUCUGCAAGAUUAUGACUGAACGCCUCUAAGUCAGAAUCUUUUCUAGUCAUUGGCAACGAUAAGUUGCGUCCGGACUCGAUGCGAGGAAACGAUUAGGCUUUGCUGUGUUUUGCGCAGCGAAGCCGUUAUCAUACCACGGUAGCAGGCAGUUGGGAUGGUUACGAAAAAGCAAUUUUUUGAAGUCAGUUGAAUUCAAUCAAACUGCUAACAAUCCCACUGCGAAUGACUACACUCGAAUCU